GUAGAGAUCUGGAGGAAUACCGGUGGCGAAGGCGGCCCCCUGGACAAAGACUGACGCUCAGGUGCGAAAGCGUGGGGAGCAAACAGGAUUAGAUACCCUGGUAGUCCACGCCGUAAACGAUGUCUACUUGGAGGUUGUGCCCUUGAGGCGUGGCUUCCGGAGCUAACGCGUUAAGUAGACCGCCUGGGGAGUACGGCCGCAAGGUUAAAACUCAAAUGAAUUGACGGGGGCCCGCACAAGCGGUGGAGCAUGUGGUUUAAUUCGAUGCAACGCGAAGAACCUUACCUGGUCUUGACAUCCACAGAACUUUCCAGAGAUGGAUUGGUGCCUUCGGGAACUGUGAGACAGGUGCUGCAUGGCUGUCGUCAGCUCGUGUUGUGAAAUGUUGGGUUAAGUCCCGCAACGAGCGCAAC
Molecule: ribosomal RNA, 413 nt
Filed under: Salmonella enterica
Lineage: Bacteria; Pseudomonadati; Pseudomonadota; Gammaproteobacteria; Enterobacterales; Enterobacteriaceae
Also listed under: 1 other name
Description: bacterial SSU rRNA
Rfam family: Bacterial small subunit ribosomal RNA
Source: RNAcentral